UACGGGGGGGGCAAGCGUUGUUCGGAAUUACUGGGCGUAAAGGGCGCGUAGGCGGUUGGAUAAGUUGGUGGUGAAAACCUCGAGCUUAACUCGGGGCCUGCCAUCAAUACUGCCCGGCUGGAGUGUGGGAGAGGAGAGUGGAAUUCCCGGUGUAGCGGUGAAAUGCGUAGAUAUCAGGAGGAACACCGGUGGUGUAGACGGCUUUCUGGACCGUAACUGACGCUGAGACACGAAAGCGUGGGUAGCAAACAGG
RNAcentral lists this ribosomal RNA (253 nucleotides) under uncultured bacterium. Its description in RNAcentral is "partial 16S ribosomal RNA". It matches the Rfam family "Bacterial small subunit ribosomal RNA", at positions 524 to 776 of the family's 1533-position model. The record is from RNAcentral.